UAAUACUAGCGGUCCAAGUCGCAGCCAUAUUUAUUGGGUCUAAAACAUCCGUAGCUUGCUUGAUAAGUUUCUUGUGAAAUCUUAUCUCUUAAAGAUAAGGCGUGUGAGAAGUACUGUCAAGCUAGAGACUGGAAGACGUAAGAAGUACGUUCGAAGUAGCGGUAAAAUGUGUUAAUCUUGGACGGACUCACAAUAGCGAAGGCAUCUUACGAGGACAGUUCUGACAGUGAGGGAUGAAGGCUAGGGGCGCAAAACGGAUUAGAUACCCGUGUAGUCCUAGCAGUAAACACUGCACACUAAACAUCAGUACCUCCUCGAGAGGUAUUGGUGCUGAAGGGAAGCCGAAGAGUGUGCUACCUGGGAAGUAUAGUCGCAAGGCUG
This 381-nucleotide ribosomal RNA is filed under the name uncultured archaeon. Its description in RNAcentral is "bacterial SSU rRNA". It matches the Rfam family "Archaeal small subunit ribosomal RNA", at positions 471 to 851 of the family's 1478-position model. The record is from RNAcentral.